ACUCCUACGGGAGGCAGCAGUGGGGAAUCUUACGACAAUGGGGGAAACCCUGAUCUAGCCAUGCCGCGUGGACGGAUGAAGGCCUUAGGGUUGUAAAGUCCUUUCAGCUGGGAAGAUAAUGACGGUACCAGCAGAAGAAGCCCCGGCUAACCUCCGUGCCAGCAGCCGCGGUAAUACGGAGGGGCUAGCGUUGUUCGGAAUUACUGGGCGUAAAGCGC
Molecule: ribosomal RNA, 218 nt
Filed under: uncultured bacterium
Lineage: Bacteria
Description: partial 16S ribosomal RNA
Rfam family: Bacterial small subunit ribosomal RNA
Source: RNAcentral